CACGUAGGGGGCGAGCGUUGUCCGGAUUUAUUGGGCGUAAAGGGCUCGUAGGCGGCUCAGUAAGUCGGGUGUGAAACCUCCAGGCUCAACCUGGAGACGCCACUCGAUACUGCUGUGGCUAGAGUCCGGUAGGGGAGCAUGGAACUCCUGGUGUAGCGGUGAAAUGCGCAGAUAUCAGGAGGAACACCAGUGGCGAAGGCGGUGCUCUGGGCCGGAACUGACGCUGAUGAGCGAAAGCGUGGGGAGCAAACAGG
This 254-nucleotide ribosomal RNA is filed under the name uncultured bacterium. Its description in RNAcentral is "partial 16S ribosomal RNA". It matches the Rfam family "Bacterial small subunit ribosomal RNA", at positions 524 to 776 of the family's 1533-position model. The record is from RNAcentral.